This 148-nucleotide signal recognition particle RNA is filed under the name Chlorocebus sabaeus (green monkey). RNAcentral describes it as "Metazoan signal recognition particle RNA". It matches the Rfam family "Metazoan signal recognition particle RNA". From Rfam's summary of the family: The signal recognition particle (SRP) is a universally conserved ribonucleoprotein. Lineage: Eukaryota; Metazoa; Chordata; Mammalia; Primates; Cercopithecidae. The record is from Rfam by way of RNAcentral.
GCUGGGCAUGGUGGCGUGUGCCUGUAGUCCCAGCUACGUGGGAGGCUGUGGUGGGAGGAUCACUUGAGCCCAGGAGGUCGAGGCUGCAUUGAGCUGAGAUCAUGCCACUGCACUCCAGCCUGGGUGACAGAGUGAGACCCCAUCUCAA